GUUAUAUGGUCAAGCGAAUAAGCGCACACGGUGGAUGCCUAGGCGGUCAGAGGCGAUGAAGGACGUGGUAGCCUGCGAAAAGUGUCGGGGAGCUGGCAACAAGCUUUGAUCCGGCAAUGUCCGAAUGGGGAAACCCACUGCUUCGGCAGUAUCCUGCAGUGAAUUCAUAGCUGCUGGAAGCGAACCCGGUGAACUGAAAUAUCUAAGUAACCGGAGGAAAAGAAAUCAACCGAGAUUCCCUAAGUAGUGACGAGCGAACGGGGAGCAGCCCUUAAGCUGGAAUGGCUUUAGAAAAACAAUCUGGAAAGAUUGGCCAUAGAAGGUGAUAGCCCUGUAUUUAAAAGGGCCACUCCAGUGAAGACGAGUAGGGCGGGGCACGUGAAACCCUGUCUGAAUAUGGGGGGACCAUCCUCCAAGGCUAAAUACUCCUGACCGACCGAUAGUGAACCAGUACCGUGAGGGAAAGGCGAAAAGAACCCCGGAGAGGGGAGUGAAAUAGAUCCUGAAACCGUGUGCGUACAAGCAGUAGGAGCUCGCAAGAGUGACUGCGUACCUUUUGUAUAAUGGGUCAGCGACUUACUGUUCGUGGCAAGCUUAACCGUAUAGGGGAGGCGAAGGGAAACCGAGUCUGAUAAGGGCGCAUAGUCGCGGGCAGUAGACCCGAAACCGGGUGAUCUAGUCAUGGCCAGGGUGAAGGUGCCGUAACAGGUACUGGAGGCCCGAACCCACGUCUGUUGCAAAAGACGGGGAUGAGCUGUGAUUAGGAGUGAAAAGCUAAUCGAACCCGGAGAUAGCUGGUUCUCCUCGAAAGCUAUUUAGGUAGCGCCUCAUAUGUAUCCUCUCGGGGGUAGAGCACUGUUAUGGCUAGGGGGUCAUCGCGACUUACCAAACCAUUGCAAACUCCGAAUACCGAGACGGACUGUAUGGGAGACACACGGCGGGUGCUAACGUCCGUCGUGAAAAGGGAAACAACCCAGACCCACAGCUAAGGUCCCAAAUUCACUGCUAAGUGGAAAACGAUGUGGAAAGGCAUAGACAGCCAGGAGGUUGGCUUAGAAGCAGCCACCCUUUAAAGAAAGCGUAAUAGCUCACUGGUCGAGUCGGUCUGCGCGGAAGAUUUAACGGGGCUAAGCAGUGAACCGAAGCUUGGGGUGCAUAAAACUUGUUUUAUGCGCGGUAGAGGAGCGUUCCGUAAGCCUGCGAAGGUGGAUUGAGAAGUCUGCUGGAGGUAUCGGAAGUGCGAAUGCUGACAUGAGUAACGAUAAUGCGGGUGAAAAGCCCGCACGCCGAAAGCCCAAGGUUUCCUUGCGCAACGUUAAUCGACGCAGGGUUAGUCGGUCCCUAAGGCGAGGGCGAAAGCCGUAGUCGAUGGGAAGCAGGUUAAUAUUCCUGCACCUCGCGUGAGUGCGAUGGAGGGACGGAGAAGGUUAGGUGUACCGGGCGUUGGUUGUCCCGGGGAAAGGCGGUAGGUUUGGAUCUUUGGCAAAUCCGGGAUCCUUUAAGACCGAGCACCGAGACGAGCCUUUAUGGCAAAGUCACUGAUACCACGCUUCCAGGAAAAGCUCCUAAGCUUCAGCUCACGAAGACCGUACCGUAAACCGACACAGGUGGGUAGGAUGAGAAUUCUCAGGCGCUUGAGAGAACUCGGGUGAAGGAACUAGGCAACAUGGCACCGUAACUUCGGGAGAAGGUGCACCCUUUUUGGUGGCUCGUGCGAGCUAUAGCUGAAGAGGGUCGCAGAAACCAGGCCGCUGCGACUGUUUAUCAAAAACACAGCACUCUGCAAACACGAAAGUGGACGUAUAGGGUGUGACGCCUGCCCGGUGCUGGAAGGUUAAUUGAUGGGGUCAGCCGCAAGGCGAAGCUCUUGAUCGAAGCCCCAGUAAACGGCGGCCGUAACUAUAACGGUCCUAAGGUAGCGAAAUUCCUUGUCGGGUAAGUUCCGACCUGCACGAAUGGCGUAACGACAGCGGCGCUGUCUCCACCCGAGACUCAGUGAAAUUGAAAUCGCUGUGAAGAUGCAGCGUUCCCGUGGCAAGACGGAAAGACCCCGUGAACCUUUACUAUAGCUUUACACUGAACGUUGAGUUCGUCUGUGUAGGAUAGGUGGGAGGCUAUGAAACUGUGGCGCUAGCUGCAGUGGAGCCAUCCUUGAAAUACCACCCUGUCGUGCUUGACGUUCUAACCUAGAUCCGUUAUCCGGAUCGGGGACCGUGUAUGGUGGGUAGUUUGACUGGGGCGGUCUCCUCCUAAAGAGUAACGGAGGAGCACGAAGGUACGCUCAGCGCGGUCGGACAUCGCGCACUGUGUGCAAAGGCAUAAGCGUGCUUGACUGCAAGAUCGACGGAUCAAGCAGGUACGAAAGUAGGUCUUAGUGAUCCGGUGGUUCUGUAUGGAAGGGCCAUCGCUCAACGGAUAAAAGGUACUCCGGGGAUAACAGGCUGAUACCGCCCAAGAGUUCAUAUCGACGGCGGUGUUUGGCACCUCGAUGUCGGCUCAUCACAUCCUGGGGCUGUAGUCGGUCCCAAGGGUAUGGCUGUUCGCCAUUUAAAGUGGUACGCGAGCUGGGUUCAGAACGUCGUGAGACAGUUCGGUCCCUAUCUGCCAUGGGCGUUGGAAGUUUGAGAGGGGCUGCUCCUAGUACGAGAGGACCGGAGUGGACGAACCUCUGGUGUUCCGGUUGUCACGCCAGUGGCAUUGCCGGGUAGCUAUGUUCGGAAGCGAUAACCGCUGAAAGCAUCUAAGCGGGAAGCGCGCCUCAAGAUGAGACUUCCCGGGGCACAAGCCCCCUAAAGGAACCAUGUAGACUACGUGGUUGAUAGGUCAGGUGUGUAAGUACAGCAAUGUAUUGAGCUAACUGAUACUAAUGAUCCGUGUGGCUUGACCAUAUAACCU
This 2895-nucleotide ribosomal RNA is filed under the name Xanthomonas codiaei. RNAcentral describes it as "bacterial LSU rRNA". It matches the Rfam family "Bacterial large subunit ribosomal RNA". Lineage: Bacteria; Pseudomonadati; Pseudomonadota; Gammaproteobacteria; Lysobacterales; Lysobacteraceae. The record is from RNAcentral.